Molecule: long non-coding RNA, 4323 nt
Organism: Brienomyrus brachyistius
Lineage: Eukaryota; Metazoa; Chordata; Actinopteri; Osteoglossiformes; Mormyridae
Exons: 3
Source: RefSeq, a predicted model, not a curated record
UAUGCAUUUAUUUUAUCGAUAGUGUGACCUUGUAUCUGAUGGCUCUCUGCUGCUCCCAUUGUCAGUAAUUACUUUGGAAGGUAUUACAUUAAUGUAUUCCACACUUCAGCAGCUAUAAGUCAUGUCUCUCUCCAGUUAUUUGCCAGUAUCUGGCCAAAAAUCAACUGUAAAUUUCAAAAGGCGACCACAGCUGUUUAGUAGGCACCCCAUUAUUUGAAAGUGCGAUGUUUCGGGAGGGAGGCCAUGUUUAACUUUUGGGCUGUUUGACCAUAGGAGAAGGAGAUUAAGAGAGCAGGUGAUUGGUCAGGUGGAAUGGCCGUCUACAGAUUGGCACUCUUAGGUCUUAAAGGUGCAGUAUCUUCCAACAUUCAGAUCUUUCCUACAAAAACAAGGAGGCUGUGUAGAGGACAGCAGAGUUUUAUGCCUCAGAGAGCCUGGGGACCUAGCUGAUUUCUGGCAGUCCGUUAGGCAUCCGGGUGCAGCCCUGCAGAUAAUCCUCCCCCGGUGCUCCCCGUUCCCCAUCCUUUAGUAUCACCACAUAUCACAUUACCGGGGUGAAAUCAAAACAGAAUUUUGGUGUAGAACUAUGGGACCUGACCGUCCCCUAACAUGACAAUUUAGUGCUUGGAACUAGUAUGACCACAAGUUUGUCUAGUCUGCCCCAUAUAAAGCCACUUGAUCACCUGACUGGGGUCAUUCAUUUGCUAUAGGAGUUCUAAUAAAAAUGCAAAUGAUUGGUUAGCACACCAGGAGUGAGAAAUGUGUUACAAAUAACAUUUGCUGUUGUUAUUGUUAUAUAUUCCAUGCCAUCACAGUGGUUGUAAUGCAGUGGGUGUAAGGCAGCUGUUUCUCACUGUAUACACUGGAAGGUGACCAGCUUUAGAAUAACAGCCACACACUGCAUACACUGGAAGGUGACUAGCUUUAGAAUAUUACACACACACUGCAUACACUGGAAGGUGACCAGCUUUAGAAUAACACCCACACACUGCAUACUCUGGAAAGUGACCAGCUUUAGAAUAACACCCACACACUGCAUACACUGGAAGGUGACUAACAUUAGAAUAACACCCACACACUGCAUACACUUGAAGGUGACUAGCUUUAGAAUAACACCCACACACUGCAUACACUGGAAGGUGACCAGCUUUAGAAUAACACCCACACACUGCAUACACUGGAAGGUGACUAGCUUUAGAAUAACACCCACACACUGCAUACACUGGAAGGUGACUAGCUUUAGAAUAACACCCACACACUGCAUACACUGGAAGGUGACCAGCUUUAGAAUAACACCCACACACUGCAUACACUGAAAGGAGACCAGCUUUAGAAUAACACUCACACACUGCCUCUGUAGAUGCGUUUAUAUUCAUUGACUUGUAAGCAAGUGACUUGUUGAGUUUUCCCUCAAAGGCCCACUAAAUUAUGGUGCCCUGCCUUCCCAGGGAGGUGAGGUCUGGUUAUAAGCCACGUAGAUGAAAAAUGGGAGGUGGGUGUGUAGGCCAGUGUCACACAGCCCCAUGAAGCCAGCCCCAACCCAGGCGGAGACAGGCAGCCUUUUUAAUUAACAGCUGGGUGUCUGUGCUUGUCUGUAUGCCUUUGUGUGGGUGUGUGUCUGUGUCUGCAGAGCUUGCUGAGGAGGCCACCUGAAGGGCCUCAUUUGUAUAGCUGACUUCAUUACUUGCUGAAUCCUAAUGACUUUAAAGCACCCAUGAGUCCCCAGGAAGUUCCAGUGAUUUGUCUGUUUACUCUCUUACCCUGAGGCCUUUCUCUGUUAAAAUAUUGCCGUCAAAAUACCGGAACAUUCUCCACUGUUUUAUUUCCAUUGACCACACUGCUGCCCAAGGCAAUUUACAGGGCUGCCGCGGUCAGGUGCAGCGAAUGCAAACGAUGAUGGAGAAGACUGCUGCUGUAGAAAAGCAGCACUGUUCUGUCCCACUCCGCAUAAGUGUGUAUGAUGAGGCACCAGCAGCAGGGAUGCUGAGGACAGCUGAGGCUUUGGGAUGUGUCUGCGGAUGCCCCAAAAAAACAGACAACACCCAACAAUAUCAUUUACCCCCUGGUAGUACAACUGGCUGACAUCCUUCCUCAGUAUAAUACAAGAAAAUUGGAUGUAUUUGAGAAUGAUCUUGAUCAGGUUAAAAGAAAAGAACCUCCCCCUCUAUUGGUUAGUUAAACUUUAUUCAAAAAGUGAUUUUUACAUAACUGAUUGCAGUAGUGAUUACUCCAAAGCUCCAUCUGUCCAAGGUAGAAACUGUUAUCCUUGAAUGUGUGUGCAGCGCUUCCAGGUUGAAUGUUUGAGGUGCCCGUAAUAAUGAAUUAUAUGAGCCUGGUUAAUAUUGGCGGUUGUAAAGAGCUUUGUGAUAAAUUACUUGUGUGUAGCCUAUUGUUUACAUCUCAACUCUGUACUGGAAAAAAUGGUUAUGUAAGAUGGAUGGAUAUUACAUUGUUGUUGCUUACUAGAGAAAACACCUGUUAGCAGUCCCACAUACAUCUGACGCCUCUGAUUCUGUGUGUUUUAUAGAGGGUACAGAUAUUGGCUCCUUUGGCCCUACACUCCCACAUUCAUUGAUGAAUGUCUGCUAAGACGCUAAUGUAGCAGAGCCCAGGUGCAUGCUGGGAGGAAGUGAUGGUCAUUGUUGGGUGGUGUCCUAGUUGGCCAGGUUCCUGGACUUAAGUCUAACUUACCUGAUAUUUCUCUCUCUUUCCUGACAAAAUAUCCGUAGCACAUUUUCUAGUUCUUGUAAACAAAAUGAAAAUAAAUCAGGAAAACGAUCACAGGGGAUGUGCCGAGCGUCACCCAAACGUGCAAGCUCCUCGAGGGGGCUGUAAUUCAGAGUGAAACAGCAGCUUCUGCUGCUUUUCUCAUUGAUUACAACGGGAACACGUGUCUGCGUUUCCACUCUGUCCUCACCUUAAGCACAGCUGUAAAAGACAGUCAUCAUUGAUUUUGGAUCAACUGAAACCUCAGUUGACUUAUUGAACUUGUAAAACUCAUGAGAUUUUGUGGUAAUUGGUGUCAGAAAGUGCACAGUUAACCAACCAUUCAUGUUGAACAUCUGAGUUUAACUGAAAGAUUGAUUUCCCAACAGAUCAAUUUAUUAGUUAGAUGGCUGCACAUGACAGGUGUACAACAAUGACUCAAUGAUGAGCUGAAGCAGCAGGUCUUUUGUGUGGACAAAAUAAACAUCCCUGGGAUGACUAGAUCACAGCCAAUGCAGCCUUUUCUUCUGCUAUUAACCCAGAUUGGCUCAGUAUUAAGCUUUGGCCAAUUGACCAAUAGAAUUAACCGAUAUUAACGUUCCAUGAAAGAACUGGCAUUGGCAGAAACUCUGCAGGUGAAACACCAAUGGUGCCUCUUUAAACACUGACGAUGAGAAAAGAAGCUCUCUCACUGGGGGAAAUGCUGGGAACUGUCCUUCUUGUGUUGUAUCUUGCAGCUCUCACAGGUCAUUAAGUUUGGCCAAAGAGUUGUUAGUGAUUAACCGUAAAGGGAAAAAGUAUAUUUACCAGACAAAACUUAUGGAAUGCAAGUACUUUUUUGUACAUGAUAAUAAUUUGUGAUGUUUUUGUUAUUCUGCUGAGUAGCAUCAACGAUGUACUAAAUCUGAUCGUGUAAUGCAUUCUGAGAGUUCAUGUUAUUCACAUGUUCUAAGUUACAAGGUUAUAACAUGGCUUGUUAUAUUUAUAUUUUUUUCUAUGUAUUGACCUUUGUGAUUCUCUACAGUUUUACAGAUUGACUCUGUUAUGUCAGUCAUAAACACCUGUUUAAAUAAAGCUAUUGGUGUCUGUUUAUUUUUGACCAUAUAAAAUAAUAUUAGUUAUCAGAAUCUUUAGCUCGAUACAGUUGUAUUGCUACUGAAGAGUAUUCCGGAGUAUUCCUAUCUGAUGUGGAUCUCUCAGUUUAUGGAUCACCGGCAGGCUGAGGGGUGAAUUCCCUUGCUUCCUUGCCGAGGCCUUGCUUUCUCCUCAUGAAUUCAUGGGCUGUUGGUCAGAUAUCUAGCUCUACUACGCCAGCUGUACUAUUUUUCACUGACUCGCAUCAUUAACAGUAUGGCAUAGUACCUGGUAGUUCAGCUUAAGCAUGACAUGGGCAAUAAAGAAAUUCUGUCAUUUGGGUCGAUAGAAGAAUCUUUGUUACUGCAUAUUUCGCAUCCUUUCAGCUUCUGGAAGUUGGGAUUUAAAGUAACUCGGAUGCCAGGAAUGCAAAACUAGCUAUGUGGUGUAGAUUGUGUUCUUACAUGACAUCUUUGCGUGGGAGCUCAAAGGUGAAUGAAAUUUUGUUUUGUGUUGUUUCUGUUUGCUUAUACACAAUACCCA